CCGAUCCCACGUACCUCUUCGUCCAUCGAUCUGUGCCUUUCCUCCCCCGUCUUUCCUUUUUUUCCACCUCCGCAGACCUCACACCGCCCGCACGCCCUGACGUCGCCCGCCCGCCCGCCUGCCGCCGCCGCCUUCACGCCGCCUCACCGCCUGGCGCCACCGCCCACGUUUCCUUCCGCCCCGCGCCGCCGCCGACGUCUCCUCCCGCCCCGCGCCUCCUCCCGCCCCGCGCCUCCUCCCGCCCCGCGCCUCGAGGGCUGCUGCCGCCGCCCUCACGCCGCCUCGCCGCCUCGCGCCGCCUCGCCGCCUCGCGCCGCCUCGCCGCCUCGCGCCGCCGCCGACGUCUCCUCCCGCCCCGCGCCUCGCGGGCUGCCGCCGCCGCCCAGUCCUACCUUCAUCGGCCG
Molecule: long non-coding RNA, 404 nt
Filed under: Brachypodium distachyon (stiff brome)
Lineage: Eukaryota; Viridiplantae; Streptophyta; Magnoliopsida; Poales; Poaceae
Description: long non-coding RNA (BDIS_LNC004852)
Source: RNAcentral